This 197-nucleotide ribosomal RNA is filed under the name uncultured bacterium. Its description in RNAcentral is "partial 16S ribosomal RNA". It matches the Rfam family "Bacterial small subunit ribosomal RNA", at positions 335 to 524 of the family's 1533-position model. The record is from RNAcentral.
ACUCCUACGGGAGGCAGCAGUAGGGAAUCUUCCGCAAUGGACGAAAGUCUGACGGAGCAACGCCGCGUGAGCGNUGAAGGCCUUCGGGUCGUAAAGCUCUGUUGUUAGGGAAGAACAAGUAUCGGAGUAACUGCCGGUACCUUGACGGUACCNAACCAGAAAGCCACGGCUAACUACGUGCCAGCAGCCGCGGUAAU